UGGGUGUGAAAAACACCCACGCCGAAAGACCAAGGGUUCCUGCGCAACGUUAAUCGACGCAGGGUUAGUCGGUUCCUAAGGCGAGGCUGAAAAGCGUAGUCGAUGGGAAACAGGUUAAUAUUCCUGUACUUCUGGUUACUGCGAUGGAGGGACGGAGAAGGCUAGGCCAGCUUGGCGUUGGUUGUCCAAGUUUAAGGUGGUAGGCUGAAAUCUUAGGUAAAUCCGGGGUUUCAAGGCCGAGAGCUGAUGACGAGUCGUCUUUUAGAUGACGAAGUGGUUGAUGCCAUGCUUCCAAGAAAAGCUUCUAAGCUUCAGGUAACCAGGAACCGUACCCCAAACCGACACAGGUGGUCGGGUAGAGAAUACCAAGGCGCUUGAGAGAACUCGGGUGAAGGAACUAGGCAAAAUGGCACCGUAACUUCGGGAGAAGGUGCGCCGGCUAGGGUGAAGGAUUUACUCCGUAAGCUCUGGCUGGUCGAAGAUACCAGGCCGCUGCGACUGUUUAUUAAAAACACAGCACUCUGCAAACACGAAAGUGGACGUAUAGGGUGUGACGCCUGCCCGGUGCCGGAAGGUUAAUUGAUGGGGUUAGCGCAAGCGAAGCUCUUGAUCGAAGCCCCGGUAAACGGCGGCCGUAACUAUAACGGUCCUAAGGUAGCGAAAUUCCUUGUCGGGUAAGUUCCGACCUGCACGAAUGGCGUAACGAUGGCGGCGCUGUCUCCACCCGAGACUCAGUGAAAUUGAAAUCGCUGUGAAGAUGCAGUGUAUCCGCGGCUAGACGGAAAGACCCCGUGAACCUUUACUGUAGCUUUGCACUGGACUUUGAGCCUGCUUGUGUAGGAUAGGUGGGAGGCUUUGAAGCGUGGACGCCAGUUCGCGUGGAGCCAUCCUUGAAAUACCACCCUGGCAUGCUUGAGGUUCUAACUCUGGUCCGUGAUCCGGAUCGAGGACAGUGUAUGGUGGGCAGUUUGACUGGGGCGGUCUCCUCCUAAAGAGUAACGGAGGAGUACGAAGGUGCGCUCAGACCGGUCGGAAAUCGGUCGCAGAGUAUAAAGGCAAAAGCGCGCUUGACUGCGAGACAGACACGUCGAGCAGGUACGAAAGUAGGUCUUAGUGAUCCGGUGGUUCUGUAUGGAAGGGCCAUCGCUCAACGGAUAAAAGGUACUCCGGGGAUAACAGGCUGAUACCGCCCAAGAGUUCAUAUCGACGGCGGUGUUUGGCACCUCGAUGUCGGCUCAUCACAUCCUGGGGCUGAAGCCGGUCCCAAGGGUAUGGCUGUUCGCCAUUUAAAGUGGUACGCGAGCUGGGUUUAGAACGUCGUGAGACAGUUCGGUCCCUAUCUGCCGUGGACGUUUGAGAUUUGAGAGGGGCUGCUCCUAGUACGAGAGGACCGGAGUGGACGAACCUCUGGUGUUCCGGUUGUCACGCCAGUGGCAUUGCCGGGUAGCUAUGUUCGGAAAAGAUAACCGCUGAAAGCAUCUAAGCGGGAAACUUGCCUCAAGAUGAGAUCUCACUGGGAACUUGAUUCCCCUGAAGGGCCGUCGAAGACUACGACGUUGAUAGGCUGGGUGUGUAAGCGUUGUGAGGCGUUGAGCUAACCAGUACUAAUUGCCCGUGAGGCUUGACCAU
This 1629-nucleotide ribosomal RNA is filed under the name Pseudomonas aeruginosa 62. RNAcentral describes it as "bacterial LSU rRNA". It matches the Rfam family "Bacterial large subunit ribosomal RNA", at positions 1316 to 2925 of the family's 2925-position model. Lineage: Bacteria; Pseudomonadati; Pseudomonadota; Gammaproteobacteria; Pseudomonadales; Pseudomonadaceae. The record is from RNAcentral. RNAcentral also lists the same sequence under 1 other name.